RNAcentral lists this ribosomal RNA (1209 nucleotides) under Salmonella enterica subsp. enterica serovar Typhimurium. RNAcentral describes it as "partial 23S ribosomal RNA". It matches the Rfam family "Bacterial large subunit ribosomal RNA", at positions 137 to 1300 of the family's 2925-position model. The record is from RNAcentral. Lineage: Bacteria; Pseudomonadati; Pseudomonadota; Gammaproteobacteria; Enterobacterales; Enterobacteriaceae.
GAUUCGUCACACUAUCAUUAACUGAAUCCAUAGGUUAAUGAGGCGAACCGGGGGAACUGAAACAUCUAAGUACCCCGAGGAAAAGAAAUCAACCGAGAUUCCCCCAGUAGCGGCGAGCGAACGGGGAGGAGCCCAGAGCCUGAAUCAGCAUGUGUGUUAGUGGAAGCGUCUGGAAAGGCGCGCGAUACAGGGUGACAGCCCCGUACACAAAAGCGCAUGUGCUGUGAGCUCGAUGAGUAGGGCGGGACACGUGGUAUCCUGUCUGAAUAUGGGGGGACCAUCCUCCAAGGCUAAAUACUCCUGACUGACCGAUAGUGAACCAGUACCGUGAGGGAAAGGCGAAAAGAACCCCGGCGAGGGGAGUGAAAAAGAACCUGAAACCGUGUACGUACAAGCAGUGGGAGCACCCUUCGGGGUGUGACUGCGUACCUUUUGUAUAAUGGGUCAGCGACUUAUAUUCUGUAGCAAGGUUAACCGUAUAGGGGAGCCGGAGGGAAACCGAGUCUUAAUUGGGCGUUAAGUUGCAGGGUAUAGACCCGAAACCCGGUGAUCUAGCCAUGGGCAGGUUGAAGGUUGGGUAACACUAACUGGAGGACCGAACCGACUAAUGUUGAAAAAUUAGCGGAUGACCUGUGGCUGGGGGUGAAAGGCCAAUCAAACCGGGAGAUAGCUGGUUCUCCCCGAAAGCUAUUUAGGUAGCGCCUCGUGAAUUCAUCUCCGGGGGUAGAGCACUGUUUCGGCUAGGGGGCCAUCCCGGCUUACCAACCCGAUGCAAACUGCGAAUACCGGAGAAUGUUAUCACGGGAGACACACGGCGGGUGCUAACGUCCGUCGUGAAGAGGGAAACAACCCAGACCGCCAGCUAAGGUCCCAAAGUCAUGGUUAAGUGGGAAACGAUGUGGGAAGGCCCAGACAGCCAGGAUGUUGGCUUAGAAGCAGCCAUCAUUUAAAGAAAGCGUAAUAGCUCACUGGUCGAGUCGGCCUGCGCGGAAGAUGUAACGGGGCUAAACCAUGCACCGAAGCUGCGGCAGCGAACGUAUCACCCAAGACAACUUUACGGAGUUGACGAUUGACGGAGCGAAGCGACGUCAAAGCGUUCAUUAAAGUCGAGUUGGCUUAGGGAUACGUUCGUUGGGUAGGGGAGCGUUCUGUAAGCCUGUGAAGGUGUGUCGUGAGGCAUGCUGGAGGUAUCAGAAGUGCGAAUGCUGA